Molecule: long non-coding RNA, 585 nt
Organism: Equus caballus (horse)
Lineage: Eukaryota; Metazoa; Chordata; Mammalia; Perissodactyla; Equidae
Source: RefSeq, a predicted model, not a curated record
CACAGACGUCCUCUCCAGUGCCAGCCAGGCCUUUCGUCCCCAAGAGCCAACUGCCUGAUGGGCAGCAGUGUGUGUGUGUGUGUGUUUACUCCUCUUCCUCUCGUCCUGCUCGUGUUUCUCUUUUCGACGAGGUCGAGUGAUUCCGUGUUGCAACAAACCACAGCGCCGCGAAGCCUUCAGAGCCUCGCCUCCGGUAGCCCAACCCCCAGCCCUCCCCGGAAGACUUCAGAUGCGAAUUGGUGCCGGGAAUCCUGCAGUUUAUUGGUGUAAUGCUUUGCAUUUUUCAAAAGACCUUUUCACAGCCCGCCAGAGGAAUGGAUAUGAAGGAAUAAAAAGAACCAAGACAGGCGUGGGGAUGCAAGGGCUCAACACUGAAUCUGGGAACUCCCACGGCUAACUGGUUUGAGCAGAGUCCGUUAAGUGGUGUUUUCAACUGUUGAGACAACUCAAGUACUGAAAAAGAUUGUAAUUUAUUCGUUAAAAAAAAAAUUUAAUGGUAAAAUAUGGGAGCCCUUGACAAGGUUGUCAUCCUUAAGUCAUGUAAUCAAAACUACUGAGGUUAAGUAUAAAAUUCUUAGAAAAUGA